This 498-nucleotide long non-coding RNA is filed under the name Vulpes vulpes (red fox). RNAcentral describes it as "lncRNA (ENSVVUG00000005948.1)". Lineage: Eukaryota; Metazoa; Chordata; Mammalia; Carnivora; Canidae. The record is from RNAcentral.
UGGGAAAGCUGGAUUAAGAUUUAUGAGCCUCUCAAAGCUCUGUUCCAUGGUUCUACCUCUCACCUGCUAAGACCUGACGCAUUGUUUUGAAAGGACUCGAUUUUGCAGCAUGGAAUCAACUGUGCUGUGCGGUGGCACAAAUGUUAUUUGCCUCUUCUUCAGCCAGCAGGAAAUCCCUGGAGAGGGUGCUUGUUCUCCAUGUCUCAUCGACUCUGGUAAACUUUCUCACUUCACAAAGAGAACAUAAGGUAUGGCAAAUUCAUUCAGUGCUAAUCAUGAGCUGAGCAUUUUGAUGUUUCACUUCCUUCCCUAAGACAAAGUUAGAGGUGCCAGGAAUAUUGAGUUGUGACUUGUGAAUCUUCUUGCUGAUCCAAACAUACACAGGAGACCAAAAAAAAUAUUCAGGGCCCAUAUAAAAAGCUGGUGUUAGAUACUGAAUUGCAGUAUAUUCAGGCGCAUGGAAUCUUUAAACCUUGUUUUUCUUGUAUUUGUAGUUGG